Long non-coding RNA from Dermochelys coriacea (leatherback sea turtle), 1320 nucleotides. RefSeq lists it as uncharacterized. The transcript has 3 exons. NCBI's taxonomy places the organism in Eukaryota, Metazoa, Chordata, Testudines, Dermochelyidae. The record is from RefSeq and is a predicted model, not a curated record.
AGACAAGGCCUAAAGGAUUCAGAUACCCAAUCCCAUUGCCCUGCACAGGCAGCUGUGUGCCUAACUCCUUUGGGGCCCUUGCAAAUCCCAGGCUGGACUCUGAGUGAAAGUAUUUGCACAUCUGUAAGUGACUUGUAGUAUUUACAUACUACAUUACAGAAUCAGUCAGUGCUCAAUUACUGGGUGUGUGAACCAGUGACCGUUUAAUUACAACGAAUGACUGACUAAUUCAGCUAUGGAGUUAAAACAAUGUUGAGAAGUUCUGAUACUGCCCCUCCCCCACCCCUGUGCAUCUCACAGAGCAGGGACCCUCCUCUUCCCCUCCCUCCCACGUUGCACAGAGCUGGAGUAUGCCCCUCCCCCAUCCUUGGGCAUCACACAGAGCAGUGACCCACUGUUACACGCUGUAUCCAAAUCAACAUCCUGGCACCCCCAUAUUUAUCAUGGUGAUAUGAUUAUGAUAUAUUUGGUACGAAGUAUGCCUUGUGAGGUAUCAUUCUAAAAGUCUUCAUUUGUUGAACAUUAAUAUCCUGUUGGAUUAUAUGCACUAUCAUUGUAUGUGAAGUUAUGAAGUUUUGCUAUGUGUGUGUUACUGAAAUAUGGUGUAAGGUUGGGAACACCAACAACCAACCUUUCAGGUACAAUAAUGUAACACCAGAUGCUGUUGAUGGCCCAUUAAGGGGAAUCCACACUACCAAGGACUAUCACAGGAUCUGCGUACAAUGAAAACCUCUCAGCGAUAGCACAUAAACAAUGGACACAGCUUGACUCAAAUCCUAGCAAAAGAUCUAUAGCUCCUCCUAUAAAGGAGGGGAAAUGACCUAAGCAUUUAGCCUCACUUCCCCCCACAACUCAACACCUGGAAACACCUCUGAAGGACAAAGACUGAAUGGGGGAGGUGGUCCCAGGCUGGAAAGGAGAAUCGCAACCUGUGUAUGCAGGAACUAUGCCAUCUACCAGGGAGCAGCUCGAGUCUCUGGGCUUGCAACUGGUACAAGAGCCAGGCCUGGGGCCAUUUCCAGGACUGUUAACAGCUGCCAGGAAUAGUGCAAAGCUGGGGAUUUUCACAAGAGCUGCCACACUGGGUCAGACCAACGGUCCAUCUAUCCCAGUAUCCUGUCUCCAAGAGCGACCAGUUAAAGAGCUUCACAGGGAAUGCACAGAACAGGCCAAUUUUGGAGCGACCCACCCCUUGUCUUCCACUCCUGGCUUCUGACAGUCAGAGGUUUAGGGAGACUCAGGGCAUGGGGUUGCAUCCCUGGCCAUCUUGGCUAAUAGCCAUUGAUGGACCUAUCCUCCUUGAACUGAUUAAUUCUUGUU